RNAcentral lists this ribosomal RNA (220 nucleotides) under uncultured bacterium. RNAcentral describes it as "partial 16S ribosomal RNA". It matches the Rfam family "Bacterial small subunit ribosomal RNA", at positions 57 to 305 of the family's 1533-position model. The record is from RNAcentral.
GCAAGUCGAGCGAGAUCUUCGGAUCUAGCGGCGGACGGGUGAGUAACGCGUGGGAAUAUACCCUUCUCUACGGAAUAGCCUCGGGAAACUGAGAGUAAUACCGUAUACGCCCUUCGGGGGAAAGAUUUAUCGGAGAAGGAUUAGCCCGCGUUGGAUUAGGUAGUUGGUGGGGUAAUGGCCUACCAAGUCUACGAUCUAUAGCUGGUUUGAGAGGAUGAUC